UUAGCUGCAGAUAUGUUGUUUGUGUUUAUAUGGUUAACUUCAUAUAUUGAUAAGGUCAUCAAGGCAAUUAGGAGUAGUUUUUCUUAACGACUAGCUCUUAAAAGCCUUAAAGUGAUAGAAGAAGCCACAAAAUGGAUCAUACUCCAACUUUCCAAGCCUUGAAGUGCUGAAAUGUGCUGCAAAAAUAUUUGGAAGGGUAUAUUUGAAAGAGCAAUGAAGUUUUAGCAAAAAAUACGAAGAAAAACCAAUAUAAUGGGCGAAUGACAUCAAUAAUUUUCUCUUUCUGGAAACGCAUACUAGUUAAAAAAUCAGAUUUAUUUCAUUUACUUCUACUUUACAAAGAUAUCGCAACAAAUCCACAGCUUUUCCCUCUAUUUCCUUGUUCGUUGUAUCUGAAUAGUAUACAUAAGUCCCCAAUGUUCUUUAUCUAUCAAUAGAAUUAUUACUGAGAUUGUAAAAGAGUACAUAUCAGUAUCAAAUAUGGCACAGAAAGGUGUAAAACGUCAUUCUGCUUUGCUAUUUCUGCUGGUAUUACUAAUGUCCGGAAGCAUUAUCAAGGUUUCUGCGGAUAAAUGCUGUCGACACUGUGUUAGAUUGUAUGGAUGUGUAGGGUGCGAAGGAACCAAUUAUCCCUGCCUUAUACGUUGUUUCAGAGAAUGUCCUUUUAUAUGUUUCGGUGAUCUGGAGAAAGUAUAUGCUGUAUUGAGUAAAGAUCAGAAAGAAAGUGCACACUAUGAAGGAGAGGUUAAGAAGAACCAGGAGAAUUUUGUAUAGCUUUUGAUCUUUGUUGAGUUUCGUCGAAUCAUUACAAAUUGUUAAAAAGUUUCCUGUUAUUCUACCAUUAGUUUUCUCGUUAUAUGCUCACGCGUCUGACCUAAUUUGUAGUUACCAAGGAAUUUUUUCAUAACGGCAAUAGUAAAUUCAUGUAUACAACGAUUAGU
This is a long non-coding RNA of Daucus carota subsp. sativus, 941 nucleotides long. RefSeq lists it as uncharacterized. The record is from RefSeq and is a predicted model, not a curated record. NCBI's taxonomy places the organism in Eukaryota, Viridiplantae, Streptophyta, Magnoliopsida, Apiales, Apiaceae. The transcript is spliced from 3 exons.